Molecule: ribosomal RNA, 449 nt
Filed under: uncultured bacterium
Lineage: Bacteria
Description: bacterial SSU rRNA
Rfam family: Bacterial small subunit ribosomal RNA
Source: RNAcentral
UCAGUCGACUCCUACGGGAGGCAGCAGUGGGGAAUCUUGCGCAAUGGGCGAAAGCCUGACGCAGCCAUGCCGCGUGAAUGAUGAAGGUCUUAGGAUUGUAAAAUUCUUUCACCGGGGACGAUAAUGACGGUACCCCGGAGAAGAAGCCCCGGCUAACUUCGUGCCAGCAGCCGCGGUAAUACGAAGGGGGCUAGCGUUGCUCGGAAUUACUGGGCGUAAAGGGAGCGUAGGCGGACAUUUAAGUCAGGGGUGAAAUCCCGGGGCUCAACCUCGGAAUUGCCUUUGAUACUGGGUGUCUUGAGUGUGAGAGAGGUAUGUGGAACUCCGAGUGUAGAGGUGAAAUUCGUAGAUAUUCGGAAGAACACCAGUGGCGAAGGCGACAUACUGGCUCAUUACUGACGCUGAGGCUCGAAAGCGUGGGGAGCAAACAGGAUUAGAUACCCUGGUAG